This 1135-nucleotide ribosomal RNA is filed under the name Neoscytalidium hyalinum. RNAcentral's name for it is "LSU rRNA". It matches the Rfam family "Eukaryotic large subunit ribosomal RNA", at positions 84 to 1051 of the family's 3401-position model. Lineage: Eukaryota; Fungi; Ascomycota; Dothideomycetes; Botryosphaeriales; Botryosphaeriaceae. The record is from RNAcentral.
CAACGGCGAGUGAAGCGGCAACAGCUCAAAUUUGAAAGCUGGCCCCCCCCGGGGGUCCGCGUUGUAAUUUGUAGAGGAUGAUUCGGCGAGGGCUCCCGCCUAAGUCCCCUGGAACGGGGCGUCAUAGAGGGUGAGAAUCCCGUAUGCGGUGGGCUGCCUUAGCCAUGUGAAUCUCCUUCGACGAGUCGAGUUGUUUGGGAAUGCAGCUCUAAAUGGGAGGUAAAUUUCUUCUAAAGCUAAAUACCGGCCAGAGACCGAUAGCGCACAAGUAGAGUGAUCGAAAGAUGAAAAGCACUUUGGAAAGAGAGUUAAAAAGUACGUGAAAUUGUUGAAAGGGAAGCGCUUGCAGCCAGACUUGUCCGCAGUUGCUCAGCCGGUCUCCUGACCGGCGCACUCUUCUGCGGCCAGGCCAGCAUCAGUUCGGGCGGUCGGAUAAAGGCCCCGGGAACGUAGCUCCUCUCGGGGAGUGUUAUAGCCCGGGGUGGAAUGCGGCCAGCCUGGACUGAGGAUCUCGCUUCGGCUAGGAUGCUGGCGUAAUGGCUGUAAGCGGCCCGUCUUGAAACACGGACCAAGGAGUCUAACAUCUAUGCGAGUGUUUGGGUGUCAAACCCAUGCGCGUAAUGAAAGUGAACGGAGGUGGGAACCCUCGCGGGUGCACCAUCGACCGAUCCUGAUGUCUUCGGAUGGAUUUGAGUAAGAGCAUAGCUGUUGGGACCCGAAAGAUGGUGAACUAUGCCUGAAUAGGGUGAAGCCAGAGGAAACUCUGGUGGAGGCUCGCAGCGGUUCUGACGUGCAAAUCGAUCGUCAAAUUUGGGUAUAGGGGCGAAAGACUAAUCGAACCAUCGACUACUAGGUGGUUAAGAGGUGGCUGAAAGUGCCCACCUAGUCCCCCCGUCCGAGGACGGGGGGGCGACAUCGCCAAAUUGCGGGGACUCCCUUAGAGCCUCUACUACCGCGGCCGGCCGAAAGGCGCGGUGCAGCACCGGGUUAAUUGCCUAGGGUACGGUAAAAAGGUAGAGGAUUGGGAAAUCCGCAGCCAAGCGCCUAAGUCCCGCGGGAUACGGCGAAGGUUCAGAGACUAGAUGGCGGUGGGUCCGGCCCGAGGGCCGGGCCUAAGGUAUAGUCCACCCCCCGC